This 1665-nucleotide long non-coding RNA is filed under the name Homo sapiens (human). Its description in RNAcentral is "HSALNT0353172". Lineage: Eukaryota; Metazoa; Chordata; Mammalia; Primates; Hominidae. The record is from RNAcentral.
GGCAACUCGCUGGAGUCCUGUUUCACAGGGUGGGGGUUUUGUUCUUUUGCCCUUUGCAGUAAAUCUUGCUGCUACUAACUCUUUGGGUCCACGCUGCCUUUGUGAGCUUUAACACUCACCACGAAGGUCUGCAGCUUCACUCCUGAAGCCAGCGAGACCACGAACCCACACUGAAGGAAGGAAACUCGGAACACAUCCGAACAUCAGAAGGAACAAACUCGACACGUUGCCUUUAAGAACUGUGACACUCACCGCGAGGGUCGGCGUCUCCAUUCUUGAAGUCAGUGAGACCAAGAACCCACCAACCAAUUCCGGACACAAUCUCAGCACUGUGGGAGACUGAGGUGGGUGAAUCAAUUGAGGUCAGGAAUUCGAGACCAGCCAGGCCAACAUGGUUAAACCUCGUCUCUACUAAAAACCCAAAAAUUAGUCCGGGGUUGGGGUGCAGGCCUGUAAUUCCAGCUACUGGAGAGGCUGAGGCAGGAGAAUCGCUUGAACCAGGGGGUCAGAGGUUGCAGUGAGCCGUGAUUGCACCACUGCACUCCAAUCUGGGCGACAAGAGGGAGACUCCGUCUCAAAAAAAAAAACUAAUUGCCAUGUGGUCGGGGUGGUGGUUUUCUUUUUUUUUUUUAGAAGAGUUUUUAGCUGGUUGAGGUAGUUCACAUCGGUAAUCCGAGUAUUUUGGGAGGCUAAGUGAGUGGAUGGCCUGUGCUCAGGAAUUUGAGACCAGCCUGGGCAACAUGGUGAAAACCUGUCUCUACUAAAAGUACAAAUAUUAGCUGGGCGCCAUGACACAUGCCUGUAGUUCCAGCUACUCAGGGAAGCUGAGGCAGGAAGAGCACUUGAGCUGGGGAGACAGAGGCUAUAGGGAGCCAAGAUCGUGCCACUGUACUCCAGCCUGGGCGACGGUGCCAGACCCUGUCUUAAAAAAAUAAAUACAAUAAAUGAAAACGGGAUUUUGUGAGAUUGUGAUGGGUGGUAAGGCAGUGCAAAACAAUAUUACGUGCAUUUGGGAGAAUAGCCUUGAUUUUGCUGAAAAUCUGGAUGACUGAUAAUGAAAUAGGAAGGAACAGCAAUAUUUGAGCAAAAAAAUCUUCAGAAGAAAUAUCUUCUUUUUGAUUCGUAAGAAUUUAUAAGCAUUUUUCAUAGACAACUUCGACUUGUGUUGAAUGUUCAACUAACUUAGACCAGAAGGACAGUUAAAAAAAAAUUUUUUUUAAAGAAAGACAGCCGGGCGUGGUGGCUCACACCUGUUAUCCCAGCAGUUUGGGAGGCUGAGGCAGGCAGAUCACCUGAGGUCAGGAGUUCGAGAACAGCCUGGCUAACAUGGCAAAACCCUGUUUCUAGUAAGAAUACAAAAAUUAGCCGGGCCUGAUGGCACGCACUUGUAAUCCCAGCUACUCAAGAGACUGAGGCCAGAGAAUCGCUUGAACCUGGGAGGCAGAGAUUGCAGUGAGCCAAGAUUGUGCGAUUGCACUCCAUCCUGGGCAACAGAGUGAGACUCUGUCUUAAAAAAUAAUAAUUUGAUUAUUGUUACCUAUCAAACCUGAGUUUUAAACCUUUUGAUUGUGUAAGAAACCUGAAGAGGCCUGAAGAAAAAUUUUUCAUAGUUCUCUGUUUUCAGGUAUAGUGAGUUGAUUAGUUAGCAUUUUUAGUAAAAAUGAU